This 61-nucleotide transfer RNA is filed under the name Pseudocrangonyx daejeonensis. Its description in RNAcentral is "tRNA-Ser". The record is from RNAcentral. Lineage: Eukaryota; Metazoa; Arthropoda; Malacostraca; Amphipoda; Pseudocrangonyctidae.
AACUACUAAGUUUAAAACAAUUGCCUUGAAAGCACUUAUCAGAGGCCAACUCUAGUAGUUA